UCUCCGUAGGUGAACCUGCGGAGGGAUCAUUACUGAGUGAGGGCUUCGGUCCGACCUCCAACCCUUUGUGAACCAAACUUGUUGCUUCGGGGGCGACCCUGCCGCUUCGGCGGUGCGGCGCCCCCGGAGGAUAUCAAAACGCUGCAUCUUUGCGUCGGAGUAUCAAUCAAAUUGAACAAAACUUUCAACAACGGAUCUCUUGGUUCUGGCAUCGAUGAAGAACGCAGC
Molecule: unclassified non-coding RNA, 228 nt
Filed under: uncultured fungus
Lineage: Eukaryota; Fungi
Description: sequence contains ITS1, 5.8S rRNA gene
Rfam family: 5.8S ribosomal RNA (bases 180-228)
Source: RNAcentral